Asparagus officinalis (garden asparagus) is the source of this 508-nucleotide long non-coding RNA. RefSeq lists it as uncharacterized. NCBI's taxonomy places the organism in Eukaryota, Viridiplantae, Streptophyta, Magnoliopsida, Asparagales, Asparagaceae. The transcript has 2 exons. The record is from RefSeq and is a predicted model, not a curated record.
AAAUACGUUGGCCAACUCCUUCUCGAGCUCGACGUCGGACCCCCAAAUCGGACCAACACCGCCUCGCCUCCCUCCCAACGUCGGACCACUAACGUCGGACCCCCAAAUCGGAGCUCGCUGUAAUUUCCGACCACCGCGAGACCCCUCCUCCCUUUCUCCUCUGCCACGACUACGAAGUCUGAGCUCGAUCUUAAAUCUCCCAACUCAGAUUGAAAUGGCUUCAUCAUCAACUGUGGAAGGUAACUCAUGUGUUGAAGUUGAUAUUAGAUUCAUAUUGAAACAAUGCGAGUGUGGUGAAUUAGCGGAUGUGAAGAUAACGAAGUCGAACAAGAACAAUAACCGUGGUAGAAUUUACUACUCGUGUAAAAGGCAAAAGUGCGGCUCGUUUUUGGGCUGGUGCAAGAUUUUAUCAGUUGAACAAAUACCACUCGUCAUUGCCCCACCAGAGGCGCGUGACGUGGUUGUUGUACGUGAAAAAGUGUUGUGGAAAUGGUUAACUGUUAUAGCU